Molecule: ribosomal RNA, 547 nt
Filed under: uncultured euryarchaeote
Lineage: Archaea; Methanobacteriati; Methanobacteriota
Description: bacterial SSU rRNA
Rfam family: Archaeal small subunit ribosomal RNA
Source: RNAcentral
UUUUGGGGCUCGGCAUACUGCUCAAUAACACGUGCAUAACCUGCCCUAUUGUCUGGAAUAACCUCGGGAAACUGAAAACAAGGACGGAUAACCCACAAUGCCUGGAACGGUUUGUGGGUGAAGAUAGGAUGGGUCUGCGGCGUAUCACGUCGUAGGGGGUGUAAUGGACCUCCUAGCCAUCGACGCGUACGGGUGUUGGGAGACAUAGCCCGGAGAUGGAUUCUGAGACACCAAUCCAGACCCUACGGGGUGCAGCAGGCGCGAAAACUUCACACUGCACGAAACUGUGAUGAGGGAACUCCAAGUGCAUGCACUAUGUGCAUGCUUUUCUUAACUAUUAAUCGGUUUUGGAAUAAGGGCUGGAAAAGACCGGUGCCAGCCGCCCCCAUAAUACCGGUAACUCAAGUGGUCCUCGCUUUUAUUGGGCCUAAAACGUCCGUAGCCUGUUUGGUAAAUCUGUGGGUAAAUCAACCCAGCUUAACUGGUUGAAUUCUGCAGAGACUGCCCAACUUAGGACCGUGAGAGGUGUGGGGUACUCUAGGGGUAG